RNAcentral lists this ribosomal RNA (427 nucleotides) under uncultured Acinetobacter sp. RNAcentral's name for it is "bacterial SSU rRNA". It matches the Rfam family "Bacterial small subunit ribosomal RNA", at positions 356 to 774 of the family's 1533-position model. Lineage: Bacteria; Pseudomonadati; Pseudomonadota; Gammaproteobacteria; Moraxellales; Moraxellaceae. The record is from RNAcentral.
GGGGAAUAUUGGACAAUGGGCGCAAGCCUGAUCCAGCCAUGCCGCGUGUGUGAAGAAGGCCUUAUGGUUGUAAAGCACUUUAAGCGAGGAGGAGGCUACUUUAGUUAAUACCUAGAGAUAGUGGACGUUACUCGCAGAAUAAGCACCGGCUAACUCUGUGCCAGCAGCCGCGGUAAUACAGAGGGUGCAAGCGUUAAUCGGAUUUACUGGGCGUAAAGCGCGCGUAGGCGGCUAAUUAAGUCAAAUGUGAAAUCCCCGAGCUUAACUUGGGAAUUGCAUUCGAUACUGGUUAGCUAGAGUGUGGGAGAGGAUGGUAGAAUUCCAGGUGUAGCGGUGAAAUGCGUAGAGAUCUGGAGGAAUACCGAUGGCGAAGGCAGCCCUCUGGGACAUGACUGACGCUCAUGCACGAAAGCGUGGGGAGCAAACA